This 402-nucleotide ribosomal RNA is filed under the name uncultured Clostridium sp. RNAcentral describes it as "bacterial SSU rRNA". It matches the Rfam family "Bacterial small subunit ribosomal RNA", at positions 355 to 770 of the family's 1533-position model. The record is from RNAcentral. Lineage: Bacteria; Bacillati; Bacillota; Clostridia; Eubacteriales; Clostridiaceae.
UGGGGAAUAUUGGGCAAUGGGGGCAACCCUGACCCAGCAACGCCGCGUGAAGGAAGAAGGCUUUCGGGUUGUAAACUUCUUUUACCAGGGACGAUGACGUGACGGUACCUGGAGAAAAAGCCACGGCUAACUACGUGCCAGCAGCCGCGGUAAUACGUAGGUGGCAAGCGUUGUCCGGAUUUACUGGGUGUAAAGGGCGUGUAGGCGGGGGAGGCAAGUCAGAUGUGAAAUCUAUGGGCUUAACCCAUAAACUGCAUUUGAAACUGUUCUUCUCGAGUAUCGGAGAGGCAGGCGGAAUUCCUAGUGUAGCGGUGAAAUGCGUAGAUAUUAGGAGGAACACCAGUGGCGAAGGCGGCCUGCUGGACGACAACUGACGCUGAGGCGCGAAAGACGUGGGGAGGC